AUUGAACGCUGGCGGCAGGCCUAACACAUGCAAGUCGAGCGGAGCGGGGACGGGUGAGUAACACGUGGGUAACCUCCCAUCAGAGGGGAUAACACUUGGAAACAGGUGCUAAACCGAUACUGAUGGAUGGACCGGCGGUGCAUUAGCUAGUUGGUGAGGUAACGGCUCACCAAGGCCACGAUGCAUAGCCGACCUGAGAGGGUGAUCGGCCACACUGGGACUGAGACACGGCCCAGACUCCUACGGGAGGCAGCAGUGGGGAAUCUUGGGCAAUGGACGAAAGUCUGAUCGAGCCACGCCGCGUGAGUGAAGAAGGCUUUCGGGUUGUAAAGCUCUUUUAUUAGAGAAGCGUUAUCGAACCAGGAAGCCACGGCUAACUACGUGCCAGCAGCCGCGGUAAUAC
This 403-nucleotide ribosomal RNA is filed under the name uncultured bacterium. Its description in RNAcentral is "partial 16S ribosomal RNA". It matches the Rfam family "Bacterial small subunit ribosomal RNA", at positions 30 to 526 of the family's 1533-position model. The record is from RNAcentral.